GGGCGAUUAGCUCAGUUGGUUAGAGCGCCACGUUGACAUCGUGGAGGUCACAAGUUCGAGUCUUGUAUCGCCCA
Molecule: transfer RNA, 74 nt
Filed under: Geodermatophilaceae bacterium
Lineage: Bacteria; Bacillati; Actinomycetota; Actinomycetes; Geodermatophilales; Geodermatophilaceae
Description: tRNA-Val
Rfam family: tRNA
About the family: Transfer RNA (tRNA) molecules are approximately 80 nucleotides in length. Their secondary structure includes four short double-helical elements and three loops (D, anti-codon, and T loops). Further hydrogen bonds mediate the characteristic L-shaped molecular structure. tRNAs have two regions of fundamental functional importance: the anti-codon, which is responsible for specific mRNA codon recognition, and the 3' end, to which the tRNAs corresponding amino acid is attached (by aminoacyl-tRNA synthetases). tRNAs cope with the degeneracy of the genetic code in two manners: having more than one tRNA (with a specific anti-codon) for a particular amino acid; and 'wobble' base-pairing, i.e. permitting non-standard base-pairing at the 3rd anti-codon position.
Source: RNAcentral